GGCGGACGGGUGAGGAAUACGUAGGAAUUUGCCUUAGAGCGGGGGAUAGCCCAGGGAAACUUGGAGUAAUACCGCAUGAUGUCGAAAGACCGAAGCAGGGGACCGCAAGGCCUUGCACUCUGAGAGAAGCCUACGUCUGAUUAGCUAGUUGGUAGGGUAAUGGCCUACCAAGGCGACGAUCAGUAACUGGUCUGAGAGGACGAUCAGUCACACCGGAACUGAGACACGGUCCGGACUCCUACGGGAGGCAGCAGUGGGGAAUAUUGGACAAUGGGCGCAAGCCUGAUCCAGCAAUGCCGCGUGUGUGAAGAAGGCCUUCGGGUUGUAAAGCACUUUAAGCAGGGAAGAAAAAACUCGGGCUAAUACUCUGAGUCUUGACGGUACCUGAAGAAUAAGCACCGGCUAGCUCUGUGCCAGCAGCCGCGGUAAUACAGAGGGUGCAAGCGUUAAUCGGAUUUACUGGGCGUAAAGCGUGUGUAGGUGGUUUGACAAGUUGGUUGUGAAAUCCCCGGGCUCAACCUGGGAACUGCUUCCAAGACUGUCAGACUAGAGUACGGUAGAGGGCGGUGGAAUUUCCGGUGUAGCGGUGAAAUGCGUAGAUAUCGGAAGGAACACCAAUGGCGAAGGCAGCCGCCUGGGCCUGUACUGACACUGAGACACGAAAGCGUGGGGAUCAAACAGGAUUAGAUACCCUGGUAGUCCACGCCGUAAACGAUGGGUACUUGACGUCGGCAUGCUCUGCGUGUCGGUGUCGUAGCUAACGCGAUAGGUACCCCGCCUGGGGAGUACGGCCGCAAGGUUGAAACUCAAGGAAUUGACGGGGGCCCGCACAAGCGGUGGAGUAUGUGGUUUAAUUCGAUGCAACGCGAAGAACCUUACCUGGCCUUGACAUGCUAGGAAUCCUGUAGAGAUAUGGAGUGCCCGUAAGGAACCUAGACCCAGGUGCUGCAUGCUGUCGUCAGCUCGUGUCGUGAGAUGUUGGGUUAGUCCCGCACGAGCGCAACCCUUGCCUAGUGCACAUUCAAGUUGAGCACUCUAGG
RNAcentral lists this ribosomal RNA (1040 nucleotides) under uncultured bacterium. RNAcentral's name for it is "bacterial SSU rRNA". It matches the Rfam family "Bacterial small subunit ribosomal RNA", at positions 97 to 1146 of the family's 1533-position model. The record is from RNAcentral.